RNAcentral lists this transfer RNA (72 nucleotides) under marine sediment metagenome. It matches the Rfam family "tRNA". From Rfam's summary of the family: Transfer RNA (tRNA) molecules are approximately 80 nucleotides in length. Their secondary structure includes four short double-helical elements and three loops (D, anti-codon, and T loops). Further hydrogen bonds mediate the characteristic L-shaped molecular structure. tRNAs have two regions of fundamental functional importance: the anti-codon, which is responsible for specific mRNA codon recognition, and the 3' end, to which the tRNAs corresponding amino acid is attached (by aminoacyl-tRNA synthetases). tRNAs cope with the degeneracy of the genetic code in two manners: having more than one tRNA (with a specific anti-codon) for a particular amino acid; and 'wobble' base-pairing, i.e. permitting non-standard base-pairing at the 3rd anti-codon position. The record is from RNAcentral.
GGGCCGGUAGUCUAGCGGUAUGACGCCGUCCUGACGAGGCGGAGGUCGAGGGUUCAACUCCCUCCCGGCCCA